Molecule: ribosomal RNA, 468 nt
Filed under: uncultured bacterium
Lineage: Bacteria
Description: partial 16S ribosomal RNA
Rfam family: Bacterial small subunit ribosomal RNA
Source: RNAcentral
GACGAACGCUGGCGGCGUGCUUAACACAUGCAAGUCGAACGGAAAGGCCCUGCUUUUGUGGGGUGCUCGAGUGGCGAACGGGUGAGUAACACGUGAGUAACCUGCCCUUGACUUUGGGAUAACUUCAGGAAACUGGGGCUAAUACCGGAUAGGAGCUCCUGCUGCAUGGUGGGGGUUGGAAAGUUUCGGCGGUUGGGGAUGGACUCGCGGCUUAUCAGCUUGUUGGUGGGGUAGUGGCUUACCAAGGCUUUGACGGGUAGCCGGCCUGAGAGGGUGAACGGACAAAUGGGGACUGAGAGACGGCCCAGACUCCAACGGGAGGCAGCAGGGGGGAAUAUUGCACAAUGGGCGGAAGCCUGAUGCAGCAACGCCGCGUGCGGGAUGACGGCCUUCGGGUUGUAAACCGCUUUCGCCUGUGACGAAGCGUGAGUGACGGUAAUGGGUAAAGAAGCACCGGCUAACUACGUG